This 509-nucleotide ribosomal RNA is filed under the name uncultured bacterium. Its description in RNAcentral is "bacterial SSU rRNA". It matches the Rfam family "Bacterial small subunit ribosomal RNA", at positions 791 to 1307 of the family's 1533-position model. The record is from RNAcentral.
UAGUCCACGCCCUAAACGAUGUUCACUCGAUAUGUGUAUUUAUAUGCGUGUCCAAGCGAAAGCAUUAAGUGAACCACCUGGGGAGUACGUUCGCAAGAAUGAAACUCAAAGGAAUUGACGGGGGCCCGCACAAGCGGUGGAGCAUGUGGUUUAAUUCGAUGAUACGCGAGGAACCUUACCAGGGCUUAAAUGUAGUAUGACCGGUCUGGAAACAGGCCUUCCCUUCGGGGCAGAUUACAAGGUGCUGCAUGGUUGUCGUCAGCUCGUGCCGUGAGGUGUUAGGUUAAGUCCUGCAACGAGCGCAACCCCUAUUCUUAGUUGCCAGCGGUUCGGCCGGGGACUCUAAGAAGACUGCCAGCGCAAGCUGAGAGGAAGGUGGGGAUGACGUCAAAUCAUCACGGCCCUUACGUCCUGGGCUACACACGUGCUACAAUGGUAGAGACAGAGGGCAGCCACCUGGUGACAGGGAGCGAAUCCUUAAACUCUAUCUCAGUUCGGAUCGAAGUCUG